ACGCUAGCUACAGGCUUAACACAUGCAAGUCGAGGGGAAACGGCAUUGAGUGCUUGCACUCUUUGGACGUCCACCGGCGCACGGGUGAGUAACGCGUAUCCAACCUUCCCAUUACUGUGGGAUAACCUGCCGAAAGGCAGACUAAUACCGCAUAGUCUUCGAUGACGGCAUCAGAUUUGAAGUAAAGAUUUAUCGGUAAUGGAUGGGGAUGCGUCUGAUUAGCUUGUUGGCGGGGUAACGGCCCACCAAGGCUACGAUCAGUAGGGGUUCUGAGAGGAAGGUCCCCCACAUUGGAACUGAGACACGGUCCAAACUCCUACGGGAGGCAGCAGUGAGGAAUAUUGGUCAAUGGACGGAAGUCUGAACCAGCCAAGUAGCGUGCAGGAUGACGGCCCUAUGGGUUGUAAACUGCUUUUGUAUGGGGAUAAAGUUAGGGACGUGUCCCUAUUUGCAGGUACCAUACGAAUAAGGACCGGCUAAUUCCGUGCCAGCAGCCGCGGUAAUACGGAAGGUCCAGGCGUUAUCCGGAUUUAUUGGGUUUAAAGGGAGCGUAGGCUGGAGAUUAAGUGUGUUGUGAAAUGUAGACGCUCAACGUCUGAAUUGCAGCGCAUACUGGUUUCCUUGAGUACGCACAACGUUGGCGGAAUUCGUCGUGUAGCGGUGAAAUGCUUAGAUAUGACGAAGAACUCCGAUUGCGAAGGCAGCUGACGGGAGCGCAACUGACGCUUAAGCUCGAAGGUGCGGGUAUCAAACAGGAUUAGAUACCCUGGUAGUCCGCACAGUAAACGAUGGAUGCCCGCUGUUGGUACCUGGUAUCAGCGGCUAAGCGAAAGCAUUAAGCAUCCCACCUGGGGAGUACGCCGGCAACGGUGAAACUCAAAGGAAUUGACGGGGGCCCGCACAAGCGGAGGAACAUGUG
This 919-nucleotide ribosomal RNA is filed under the name uncultured bacterium. RNAcentral's name for it is "bacterial SSU rRNA". It matches the Rfam family "Bacterial small subunit ribosomal RNA", at positions 33 to 943 of the family's 1533-position model. The record is from RNAcentral.